AGUGAACGCUGGCGGCAUGCCUUACACAUGCAAGUCGAACGGCAGCAUGAUCUCGGCUGCUUAAUAGAUGUGGAGUGGCGAGCAGGGGAGUGGUACAUCUCCACAUGUCCUGUAUUGUGGGGGAAAUCGUCGGGAAAUUAACUAUUAUAGCAUACGACCUGAGCGGGUGAAUGCGGGGCAUCAUCGGCCCUUGCUCUAUUGGAUGAGCCGAUGUCAGAUUAGCUAGUUGGCGGGGUAAAGGCCCACCAAGGCGACGAACCGUAGCUGGUCUGAGAGGAUGAUCAGCCACACUGGAACUGAGACACGGCCCAGACUCCUACGGGAGGCAGCAGUGGGGAAUAUUGGACAAUGGGCGCAAGCCUGAUCCAGCCAUACCGCGUGGGUGAAGAAGGCCUUCGGGUUGUAAAGCCCUUUUGUACGGAAAGAAAAGCAGCAGGUUAAUACCCCGCUGUGCUGACGGUACCCAAAGAAUAAGCACCGGCUAACUUCGUG
Molecule: ribosomal RNA, 492 nt
Filed under: uncultured bacterium
Lineage: Bacteria
Description: partial 16S ribosomal RNA
Rfam family: Bacterial small subunit ribosomal RNA
Source: RNAcentral